UACGUAGGGGGCGAGCGUUGUCCGGAAUGAUUGGGCGUAAAGCGCGCGUAGGUGGCUAUUUAAGUCAGAUGUGAAAGCCCUGGGCUCAACCUGGGAAUGGCAUUUGAUACUGGAUAGCUAGAGUAUGGUAGAGGUGAGUGGAAUUUCAGGUGUAGCGGUGAAAUGCGUAGAGAUCUGAAGGAACAUCAGUGGCGAAGGCGACUCACUGGGCCAUUACUGACACUGAGGUGCGAAAGCGUGGGUAGCAAACAGG
RNAcentral lists this ribosomal RNA (253 nucleotides) under uncultured bacterium. RNAcentral's name for it is "partial 16S ribosomal RNA". It matches the Rfam family "Bacterial small subunit ribosomal RNA", at positions 524 to 776 of the family's 1533-position model. The record is from RNAcentral.